This 460-nucleotide ribosomal RNA is filed under the name uncultured bacterium. Its description in RNAcentral is "partial 16S ribosomal RNA". It matches the Rfam family "Bacterial small subunit ribosomal RNA", at positions 338 to 795 of the family's 1533-position model. The record is from RNAcentral.
CCUACGGGUGGCAGCAGUGAGGAAUAUUGGUCAAUGGACGAGAGUCUGAACCAGCCAAGUAGCGUGAAGGAUGACUGCCCUAUGGGUUGUAAACUUCUUUUAUAUGGGAAUAAAACGUUCCACGUGUGGGAUUUUGUAUGUACCAUAUGAAUAAGGAUCGGCUAACUCCGUGCCAGCAGCCGCGGUAAUACGGAGGAUCCGAGCGUUAUCCGGAUUUAUUGGGUUUAAAGGGAGCGUAGGUGGAUUGUUAAGUCAGUUGUGAAAGUUUGCGGCUCAACCGUAAAAUUGCAGUUGAAACUGGCAGUCUUGAGUACAGUAGAGGUGGGCGGAAUUCGUGGUGUAGCGGUGAAAUGCUCAGAUAUCACGAAGAACUCCGAUUGCGAAGGCAGUUCACUGGACUGCAACUGACACUGAGGCUCGAAAGUGUGGGUAUCAAACAGGAUUAGAUACCCUUGUAGUC